RNAcentral lists this unclassified non-coding RNA (234 nucleotides) under Hevea brasiliensis (rubber tree). Lineage: Eukaryota; Viridiplantae; Streptophyta; Magnoliopsida; Malpighiales; Euphorbiaceae. The record is from RNAcentral.
GGGGGACUUCCUUUUCUUUCUUACAAAUGCAUUCGACAAGUGAACAGCCGCAAGCAAUGCUUUCAAGAUCUCUACAUGAGCAGCCAAAAAUAACUUAGAAAAAGUUUAUCCUUUCCUGUAGUGAAGACUGAGGAGCAAGCAAGGAACUUCUGCUAUGCUGUACUUAGCCACUAUCUUAUUUUCGGAGAAAUGAAUAAAUAUUACACAGGCUAUUUUAAAGGCACUCAUGCUGUU